UUUAGUCCAUCAAGUAAAUGCCUGAAUCAGUCAGUGGGUCUCAAAAACUACAAAGUUCUUUUGGGACCAGCCAUUCAUUCAUCUUUUUUGAUCAACUUUUAAUUAAUUUUAUUUUUAUUAGCUAGGACUUUUAGUUAGGACUUGGGAGUUAGAAUGGGGGUUUUAAAAUGGUGCCACAUUACUAGUCAACACUGUACAACUAGGGAUUGAAAGAUUGAAUCAUUGGCAAAGGCAAACAAAUUCAAGCAAAUGCAUGCCUAAGCUCUUCAAAGUGGUGUCUCUCGGAUGACUCAAGCCCACGGCCAGAGGCCUUCUUUGCCCACCACCUAUAUCUUCAGAGAUACAAAAGUUGCUAUUUCUUUUAUUAUUAUUAUUAUUAUUAUUGCUUUCCUACUCAAAAAUGCUAUUUUGAUUCUAUGUGAUGCAUGAGGUUGAUAUCAAGUGUCGCCACAAAAACCUUGAAAAGAGGCCAAGAGCUUCCAUCGAUUACAGACUAUGUUUACCUUGUAGAUUAUGGGAAAAUUGGCAGCCAAUUCUUAUCGCAUGGGGUUGGGAAAUUCAUCACAAAGGUUUUCAGCUUGACACUUUUCUAUGCAAGCACUUGCUACUUCCAGAAGCAGACAGUACUUUCACUGGGCUAAGAGGAUGCAACGCAAACAAACACAUAACUUAUCCAAGUACUUUCUCUGGUCACAGUAUCGGAAGGGAAUUGUACAUUUUUUAUUUUUUGGAUAAUUUAAGGGAAUUAUAAAAUAAAAUGGUCCAUUGAAGAUUUCAUAGAUGAAAAACUGUAACAAAAAUCAUAACAGUUUGAUUAGAAGCAAGCAAUACAUAAAUUUUUACCCUCUGAUGGCCUCGUGAUAAAAUUAAACUCAGCAUCUUUGUUUUCUCGUUUAUUUUGCUCCACCAGGCAACGCCAAAAAUCAUUGAAAUUUAGCAAGGAAAAAAAAAAAAAAUUAAAAAAUGAA
This is a long non-coding RNA of Ziziphus jujuba (common jujube), 968 nucleotides long. RefSeq lists it as uncharacterized. NCBI's taxonomy places the organism in Eukaryota, Viridiplantae, Streptophyta, Magnoliopsida, Rosales, Rhamnaceae. The record is from RefSeq and is a predicted model, not a curated record. The transcript has 2 exons.